This 778-nucleotide ribosomal RNA is filed under the name uncultured Neocallimastigales. RNAcentral's name for it is "partial large subunit ribosomal RNA". It matches the Rfam family "Eukaryotic large subunit ribosomal RNA", at positions 19 to 636 of the family's 3401-position model. Lineage: Eukaryota; Fungi; Neocallimastigomycota; Neocallimastigomycetes; Neocallimastigales. The record is from RNAcentral.
CGAGCACGCGCGUGUGGCAUAUCAAUAAGCGGAGGAAAAGAAACUAACAAGGAUUCCCCUAGUAACGGCGAGUGAAGCGGGAAGAGCUCAAAUUUGAAAUCUUAAAGGGUUUCCCUUUACGAAUUGUAGUUUAAAGAAGUGUUUUCUGUUGAAGUUUUGGUAAAAGUUCUUUGGAAUAGGACAUCAUAGAGGGUGAGAAUCCCGUAUUUGACCAUUUACUUUCAGCUUUGUGAUACACUUUCAAAGAGUCGGAUUGUUUGGGAAUGCAGUCCAAAAUGGGUGGUAAAUUUCAUCUAAAGCUAAAUAUUGGCGAGAGACCGAUAGCGAAUCAAGUACCGUGAGAGAAAGAUGAAAAGAACUUUGAAAAGAGAGUUAAACAGUACGUGAAAUUGUCAAAAGGGAAGCGUUUGACACCAGUGUUGUUUUUCUGAAAAUCAAUUAAAGAACUGUUUAUGCUAAGCUGUUUAGACUUUAUCAGCUAAUCUGUUUAGUUUUGAGCUUUUCUUUAAUGCACUUUUCAGUUAACAAGUCAACAUCAAUUUCUUUUGCUGUAAAAAAGCUUGAGGAAGGUGGCUUGAGAUUCGUCUUAAGUGUUUAUAGCCUCUUGCCUAUGCAGUCGGAGAGAUUGAGGUCUGCAGCGUAGAUCCUUCGGGGCUAAAUGCAUUUGUGCUAAGGUUAUAGCAUUUUAUAGACAACUUGUUGACUAUGAUUUGUCUUGUAGCUUACUCGCUUAUGUUAUUUUACCUACGCUUAGGAUGUUGACGAUCAGCUGAGCGCG